This 468-nucleotide ribosomal RNA is filed under the name uncultured bacterium. RNAcentral describes it as "partial 16S ribosomal RNA". It matches the Rfam family "Bacterial small subunit ribosomal RNA", at positions 28 to 507 of the family's 1533-position model. The record is from RNAcentral.
GACGAACGCUGGCGGCGUGCUUAACACAUGCAAGUCGAACGGAAAGGCCCUGCUUUUGUGGGGUGCUCGAGUGGCGAACGGGUGAGUAACACGUGAGUAACCUGCCCUUGACUUUGGGAUAACUUCAGGAAACUGGGGCUAAUACCGGAUAGGAGCUCCUGCUGCAUGGUGGGGGUUGGAAAGUUUCGGCGGUUGGGGAUGGACUCGCGGCUUAUCAGCUUGUUGGUGGGGUAGUGGCUUACCAAGGCUUUGACGGGUAGCCGGCCUGAGAGGGUGACCGGCCACAUUGGGACCGAGAUACGGCCCAGACUCCUACGGGAGGCAGCAGUGGGGAAUAUCGCACAAUGGGCGGAAGCCUGAUGCAGCAACGCCGCGUGCGGGAUGACGGCCUUCGGGUUGUAAACCGCUUUCGCCUGUGACGAAGCGUGAGUGACGGUAAUGGGUAAAGAAGCACCGGCUAACUACGUG